UACGGAGGGUGCAAGCGUUAUCCGGAUUUAUUGGGUUUAAAGGGUCCGUAGGCGGGCCUGUAAGUCAGUGGUGAAAUCUCAUAGCUUAACUAUGAAACUGCCAUUGAUACUGCAGGUCUUGAGUAAAUUUGAAGUGGCUGGAAUAAGUAGUGUAGCGGUGAAAUGCAUAGAUAUUACUUAGAACACCAAUUGCGAAGGCAGGUCACUACGAUUUAACUGACGCUGAUGGACGAAAGCGUGGGUAGCGAACAGG
Molecule: ribosomal RNA, 253 nt
Filed under: uncultured bacterium
Lineage: Bacteria
Description: partial 16S ribosomal RNA
Rfam family: Bacterial small subunit ribosomal RNA
Source: RNAcentral